This is a long non-coding RNA of Colius striatus (speckled mousebird), 343 nucleotides long. RefSeq lists it as uncharacterized. The record is from RefSeq and is a predicted model, not a curated record. Lineage: Eukaryota; Metazoa; Chordata; Aves; Coliiformes; Coliidae. The transcript is spliced from 3 exons.
GACAGCCUGUGUGUCUCGACCAGGAUCUCUCUGCUGCUCCGCUCCCCGUCAGAGUCCUGAAACCAAAGCAGGAGGAUUUAAUGAUGGGAGGACACCCUGAGUGCUGCCUGGCUCCUGAAGCAACAUGGGAAGCUACAGGCAGAAGCUGUGACCCAGAAAUGCUGCCUUCCUUGCUGGGACCCUGUGUCUUCCCCCUCCCACCUGCUGGGCUGCCUGACCUUUUCAGAUGUUGCACGUGCUGCUUCUCUUCUACAAAGCCUGCCAUGCUCACAGAAGGCUUGUUCCAAGCCAAGAUUCACCGAGGUCCUAAUGCUGAACCACUUCUCACUUCCUGUAACGGCUC